UACGUAGGGGGCAAGCGUUAUCCGGAAUCACUGGGUGUAAAGGGAGCGUAGACGGCUGUGCAAGCCUGAAGUGAAAGGCGGGGGCCCAACCCCCGGACUGCUUUGGGAACUGUACGGCUGGAGUGCAGGAGAGGUAAGUGGAAUUCCUAGUGUAGCGGUGAAAUGCGUAGAUAUUAGGAGGAACACCAGUGGCGAAGGCGGCUUACUGGACUGUAACUGACGUUGAGGCUCGAAAGCGUGGGGAGCAAACAGG
RNAcentral lists this ribosomal RNA (253 nucleotides) under uncultured bacterium. RNAcentral describes it as "partial 16S ribosomal RNA". It matches the Rfam family "Bacterial small subunit ribosomal RNA", at positions 524 to 776 of the family's 1533-position model. The record is from RNAcentral.